Dermacentor andersoni is the source of this 2984-nucleotide long non-coding RNA. RefSeq lists it as uncharacterized. Lineage: Eukaryota; Metazoa; Arthropoda; Arachnida; Ixodida; Ixodidae. The record is from RefSeq and is a predicted model, not a curated record.
GGUCUGCUUACGAUCUUGGUUUUUUUCGAAAAGUGCUGUACAGCCAGAUUCCUUACAGUGCACAGGAAGAUGCGCUGCCUUGCUCAGGGCUUUUAAAGAUUAUGAGUUCUCUCUUUGCCUGUCCUUUAGAUAGCGCCCGGUCUGCCCGAUAUAAGAUUUCCCACAUUUGAAUGGUAUCUUAUAUACCACUUCAGUGGCCAGUCGACGUGGCACUUAACAUGUUUGUUUUCACAGGUCGUGUUCUUUUUCUUUUGGCCGUUUGCGAGGGCGCACAGCCGAGAAAGCUUGUGAGGGCUUGUGAAUAUUAGGUCGACGACGUGUUUAUAGAUACGUGGACGGUUCUCUUGUCAUUUUGUCUGUUCCGCAUAAUGCCAAUAGCACUGCAGUAGGUGAGCGAGUGUUGCAUGAUUUUAAACAAUGUUCGCUGUCGUUAUCAUUGGCGCUAGAACUUCCACACAAUGGUACACUCUGUUUUUUUUUUUUUUUAUUGAGCGCUGUAUUAUAAUUGUGACGAACACUGUUGUUGGGAAUAUAUGCCGCGUUCUAAGAAGGCCGUUCUACCCUUUGACUCCUCUCACACCAAACUGUAUAGCUUCGUCCUACCUCAAGUCAUUCCUGACGAAGUCAUGGAUACACAGGGUUGGCCAUAGUUUUGACCUUCAAAUGUCUAGUCUGAGAGUCUCGGGAUACCCUACGAGUGUGCUAGUUGCAGUGGGAUCUAGGUUUAAAAAAAAAAAAAGCUUCAGGCGUUACCCAAUGCAACGCCAUGCCAGAGGCCAAAUAAGUAUGUCGUGAUGCUAUCAUCAUCAUCAACAUCAUCAUCAUCAUCAUCAUAAUCAUCAUCAUCGUCAUCAUCAUCAUCAUCAUCAAUGUCUACUGCAGGACGAAGGCCUCUCCCUGCGAUCUCCAAUUAGCCAUAUGUCUACAAAAUUUCGCACAGCCUAAAUAGGAUUGGGCAAAAAUACGGCGUCGACCUAGUAUUCACAGCCCCCCACAAGCUUUCUCGGCUGCGCCCCCUCGCAAAUGGCCGAAAGAAGAACAAGGCCUGUGAAAAGAAACACCUUAAGCCCCUCGUCCCCUUUGCCGCUGAAGUUAUACAUAACAUACCACUCAAUGUAAGAAAGUUUAUAUCUGGCAUACUGGGCGCUUUCUAACUGACGGGCUAAGAGAGCAUUCCUUAUCUUUAAUGGCCCUGAUCAACGUAGCGCACCUUCCUGCCUACUGUAGCGAAUAUGUCUGUACAGCACUUAAAGAAAAGCUACAUCGUAAGCAGAUCCAAAGGCAGACUUGAAAGACAAAUCCUCGAGGCUGGUCAGGUAAAACGCUCGCGCUGACCUGUGUAGUAGUGCACCGCCACUGCAUCUGGUGGAGAAGAAAUUAACGUUCCUCCCUCAUGACUGAAGCUUCUGCGCGUCCCUUUUUCCUCCUCCUCUGAUGCGUUUUUUCAAGCGAAGCUUGUAUUGGCUUACAAGUUUCGGUGGCAUUGUGGUCAGGCCGGUCACGCAACGAAAAAAAAAAAAAAACCAGUUGCUCGCGCAACUGAGCAGCUGCAUGAAAGCGCGGUUUGAUAAGUUGACAGCUGCGCCGGCGCCGGAGCGUGCCAUUAGCAAGAAUUUCAGCUGCACAGUCGUGCGCUCACGCCACGCGCGCAAUGAAUCAGGCCCGUUUCGCUUCCGCCGGUGAGGGAAAGGACAAGAAAGGGUGUCGCACGUGCUGCCGCCGACUUCGUUCAGUUCAUUCUCGCAAAACGGAUGGGACGUUCAUGCGUUGCGCUUUCCCCCGAGGAAAUGGCCGCCUUCAACGAGCCGCGGUGAGAACUCGCCCGUGAAAGGGCUCGGCGUCGGCGCGCCGAUCCAGCCUUUAGAGCCGCCCGAGCCCAGGCAAUCCAACAGCAACGAGAUGUUUCCGAGCUGAGGGAGCGGGAGGCUGAAGCAAUUCGGCACCUUUAGCUGUGGAUUAACCGUGACGAAGGUCAGGUGCACGCUGGACAAGCUUCGCUUACCCCCGUUUUCCGGUAGGGGAAGGAUCCUGCAGCUGGCCAUGCACACUUAGCCGCCUAGGAGCAAGCCCCCGCUAUUUCUGCAAUGAUCACUGCAUGCCGGGGACGUCAUCACAACUGGCUGCUGGAAACUUCUAAGCGGAUCGACCUUAUCAGCCGAAACCGAGCAUAUAAAACCAUUCCAAAUCGUCCCAGUCUUCAAUGGGAGUGCCUAACCAGACAUGGCUCGUCUUACAGCUGUCCAGGUGCUCCUCCGUUCUCCAAGCAGGUGGCAAAAAAAAUCUUUACGAUGUGUCGCUGAGGAAGUCAGUGGCUCCAGGAGCGGUGUAGGUGCCUGCGGGUUGGCGACAGCCUACGCUCCGAUGGUGCCCUUCUGGCCAUGGCGGCGCCGGGAGCCUCAGCAGCGUGUUGGAGGCAUCAACCGUGCCGGAGCCGAUGACGUCAACGGGAGAGGUUCGAGGCCUGACGUUCGAGCUACGCUGCUCCAGCAUAGGUCAGCAGCUGCUCGGUGGUCCAUGCACGAAGUUGUUCCUCAUCGAGGAAAUGUCGCUCGAAGUCCGUGGUAGGGAGAUCCUCGCCAUCAUAACCAAUUCCGGAGCGCACGCUGCUCUGGAACUGUAAAAAAAUAAAAAGAAAAUUUCAGAGGGCUGGCAACACCCUCAGUCAGAAAUAAAUGCUUGUUGCGUGUUUGACUUAGUUUUCAGGAUUUCGUAUACUGUUCCAUACACAGUGGGGGCUAGGACAGCGGGAAGACAAAAUUUGCGGGCCCCGAUUCCUAGCACCGCUUACGUAGCCCAGACCGGAGCAUCUAAACUAACUGUAGUCCACAUUAUUUAUUUAUUUAUUUAUUUAUUUAUUUAUUUAUUUGUUCACAGUACAUUACAGGCUCCUCAUCGAUCAUAGUGUAAGGGGGGUUUUACAUGAAUAAUUUCGCAGCAUAUACAUCAAUCUACGUUGCUAAGUGGCUAUUGCGUCGGGCUGCUAA